RNAcentral lists this ribosomal RNA (253 nucleotides) under uncultured bacterium. RNAcentral describes it as "partial 16S ribosomal RNA". It matches the Rfam family "Bacterial small subunit ribosomal RNA", at positions 524 to 776 of the family's 1533-position model. The record is from RNAcentral.
UACGGGGGGGGCAAGCGUUGUUCGGAAUUACUGGGCGUAAAGGGCUCGUAGGUGGCCAACUAAGUCAGACGUGAAAUCCCUCGGCUUAACCGGGGAACUGCGUCUGAUACUGGAUGGCUUGAGUGUGGGAGAGGGAUGCGGAAUUCCAGGUGUAGCGGUGAAAUGCGUAGAUAUCAGGAGGAACACCGGUGGCGAAGGCGGUUCUCUGGGAAUGUCCUGACGCUGAGGAGCGAAAGUGUGGGGAGCGAACAGG